RNAcentral lists this ribosomal RNA (268 nucleotides) under uncultured prokaryote. RNAcentral's name for it is "partial 16S ribosomal RNA". It matches the Rfam family "Bacterial small subunit ribosomal RNA", at positions 355 to 617 of the family's 1533-position model. The record is from RNAcentral.
UGGGGAAUCAUGGUCAAUGGGCGAAAGCCUGAACCUGCGACGCCGCGUGAGUGAUGAAGGUCGUAAGAUCGUAAAACUCUUUUCAGGGAUCUUAAAGCCUGUCUGUCAACAACAGGCAGGUCUGACUCUCCCUGGAAGAAGCCCCAGCCAACUACGUGCCAGCAGCUGCGGUAAUACGUAGGGGGCGAGCGUUAUUCGGAAUUACUGGGUGUAAAGGGUAUGUAGGCGGCCCUUCAAGUCAGGUGUCAAAGCCCAGUGCUCAACGCUG